ACGUCAAAGACGGACGAAUGGGCAAAUUACUUAAUUAGCUUCUGAUUGUUAGAACUGCCACACAAACCUCUCUUCAGAGGUAGACUUAGCUCCUCGACCUGUUGCACUAAUAAGCAGCAACACUGACGUGGUAUCUAGCUAACCAGAUCUUGGCAGGAGAAAAAAUUUUAAAUUUGUGGACUAAAUUCAUCUACAAACAGCGACAAAACAGCUGGAACAAACCACGACAACUUGCAGGCCAUCACGCCGACAUUUAUAAAAAGGUAAGGUAACAUCAAUGUAAUAUUAUGGCGGGUUAUUGAUUGACAUUAACAUUACUUCCAACUGAUCAGUAGGACUAAGUGCAGGAUUUGUGUAGUCUGUCAAAGAUUGAAAUCUUCCUGGCCCUACAAGACACCAUAAAUUCAUACAAGCCAGGAGUGUAGUGUAUACACUUCCAAACAACAGAGAAAGUCCAAAAAUAGAAAGAAAAAACAACAACAACAACAACUAAAGCUUCCUUCACGGUCCAACCUUUAGACCAUCAAAAUUUAUAAAUCACUGACAAAAACAUUUACUAUGUAGUACUGGGGAAAUCUGAAUAAAUACGAAUCAUAUAACUAAAACUAAAUUAAAUACAAUUUUUGUGUUAAACUCAUACAGCAUAAACAACAGUAACAAAACCCAUCAAAUACUCAUUGAACUAGUGAACACUGGUUGUCUUUAUCGCAGCCAGCACAGAAACACCAGGGUCCCAUUUCAACUGUCACAUUACAGAAGUCAGAGCGUCUUUGAACGCACCAACAAGACGAGUUUUCAAAAUAGCCCCUGCUGGAAAUCAUUAAGUGCUUCACUGCACGUCAACAAACACGACUUUCAUGCGAGAAUGAUGAAAUGUUAAGAUGCUAUGUUACCGCAAGGGAAAUGUUUAUCCUCUUCAGAGAAAAGGAAGAGCAGACAGGAAGUAACCUGGCUGACGGGAAAUUUUGUUUUACAUUGGAUAUACACAAAAAAUGAAAAGAUAGCAGAAUGGAUAUAACAGCUUCAUCACAGGAACACACAAAAGCAACAGUUGACUGAAAGUGAUAAUAACUCCUUUUAAUGUCUCUCUGAUGUCUCUUUCUUUCUGGGAACAAACACUGACUUCACAGUGACGGACCAAACAUUACGGGUGUGGACCAAAACAACCACACGAGACCCUUGAGACAAGGUGGUCUCGGCCCAGUGGGAACGUGAUCCGGCCUCGAUCCGACCCAACUACCAUAAACUACCAUUAACAUGGUCACCGAACACGUCUUCGGUUUAACAUGUUGACGGUUAGCAUGUCGUUGUACAUGCUCAGUAUUAGCUCCCUUGUUCUGCUCAGUGUGUGUGAAGCAGUUUAGUAUUUUCAAGGCGUUUCCUCGAAGUGCAUUCGGCAUUCUGCUGGUGUAGUUCUGCCUGGUAUAUUGCCCAGAUAAUUACCACGGUUAUGAGCAAAUGCCAACUGUGCCGUUCCUCGAUGUUAAAUUGCAUAGCAAUGUGUCUCUCACAGAAACAUGCCCUAGGCCAGAACACAGGACCUUCUUCCUGUAUUUACUUUCUCGCUCCCGCCCGAGACACGUCAGACCAGCAGGCGUAGUGAAUGUCUUCACGUGGUUUGUAGUGAUGCAUUUUGGCACACUUGGAUUUUUCUCCGUGUGAAAAGAAACCAAACCAAGAGGAAAACGCUCCAAGUUUGCAAACUCGUCAACUGAUUCGGACCAGAGCAAACAAACUAUAGGUGUGAAAACGCCCUAACGCAACUCAUGACCAGCAAAGCUCUCAGAUUUGAGGAAGAUUAUUUUUUCCAUCCUGGAGAGAAAAUAGGCGAUAUAUAUAUAUAUAUAUAUAUAUAUAUAUAUAUAUAUAUAUGGAUUAAAGCCACACUUCUCAGUCCUGAGCACCGCCAAACCCACUGGCCUGGAGUCAGCACUCAGCAUCUUGGUAUCUGCUGCUGGCUGGCCUGCCUGUAUUUUGUCAGAUCGUUUUCUGUGUGUGUGUGUGUGUGUGUGUGUGUUCAAUAAUUUAUUUUCCAGAUAAUGGCCUCUCUGUCACAUAAACUGGCAGACUGAACCAACUUGGAUGCAAAAGUGUUGCUGGGUGUAAAAAUGUUUUUUUUUUUUUUUUUUGACUUUACAGAUUUAAUAAACCACUACAACACUGCAAAAUUAACCACACAUACUUAAGAUCUCUCUAUCCUAAAGAUCUCCCAGUAUCAUAAACAAUCAUGAAAUUGCAUACAGGCAUAUAUUGUCUGUGACAUCAGUUUGACUACCUGCUUACCACAACCUUUGGCAGAACUGGAGCCAGAAAAUCCUAUUUUGAGCAAGUGUUGAGGAGCCUGAGUGGAGCUGAGAAAGAACAAACACGCAGCUUCAGAUCAGCAUCAAAGACUCAGUCUGACUUUUUAUUUCUGACUGAGACUUCAGGGAUAUUCCCGUGACUUCAAUGGAGUGGUUUUCUAGUAGCAAGGUUUCCUUUAUUUCCAAGAAUGCCUUUCAAUAACCCAAAGAAAACAGGGUGACAAUAUUCAUUUUUGUAUUCACCAGCUGGAUAAUUAAGAAAGACGCAGUGAAAGUGAAACUUUUUCCAAGAAAACAUAGUAUUCCCUUACUGAAAACCCUGCCUCUUUGCUGUAAAUAGGUGUAUUUUUAAUUGUAAUUUAAUUAAAUUAAUUUAAUAAUGACAAAUAAAUGGGCUAAUUUUAAAUAUUCAAUUUAUUCAAACAAUCCCACAGUUUAUUUUUGUUGACUAAAUUACUUGUCUGAGUACACCAGAUGCUGUGGUUCUCCGUUUUGUACUGAGCGACAGUCAGAAACAGAAACCCAGGACUGAGUGUUCCCUGCCACACCCCGAGGUCUGAGCAGAUGUUAUCGAUACAGAGAGAGAAGAGGAGGAGGAGAAUGGAGGAGAAAUGGCGAGCUGAAACAAAGGUAGCUGCCAGGAGAGAAAAUAAAUGAGAGAAAAUGGCAAAAAGGCAGAGGAUAAGAGUAGAAGAGAGAGAGAGAGGAGAGGAGACAGGAAGGUAAAGGGGGAAGAGAUGAAGAGAAGAGAUGUGGAUGACAAGAAGAGGAAAUGAGGAGACAGAAAAAUAGAGAAAUGGAAGGAGUGGAGGAGAAAUGGAAGAUGCAAGGUGAGAAGAGAGGAUGUUAGGAUAUGAGAGGAAAGGAGACAGAUAGUAGAGGACAGUCAGGAGAGACUGGAGGAAAAGUGAAGGAGAGAGAUUAUUUAGGGAGUAGAGAAGAGGAUAAAAUAUGAGAGGAGAGGGAGAACAAAAGAGUCCGGUCGAAGGAUGGAUUUGAGAGGAGAGGAACAAAAUUAGAAAAAGAAAGAACGACUCGAUCUUUCCUGUCUGCCACAGUAAUGGUUGCAGAAUGUGGAGAAGAAAAUAAAAGAUUUUUCAUUUUUCAAAACAUUGCAUGCAAAACCACCGGCCAGAUUAUUUACGCUUACACAACCAGAAAAUCUACACUCACAAUGAAGUUUCAUCAUUUUAUGAAUUCUUGAAUAAAAUCCACUUUUUCCAACCAGGGCAUCUACAUUCACAACUACAAUGAAAACAAGUUUACCAGGUAGGCCUUAACACAGACAAUAGGUUAACAACACGCUAAACCAAUGACAACAUGGGCUAACAUCUAGCUGUAGUUAUCAAAAAGCUGGAUAAAGGCCAUGCAAUAACAAGCUAGGCCAAGAACGAGACUGGAUAACAUCAAACUAAAGCUUGGGGCAAACCUGAAGACCAGCUGAAACCUACAAAGACUGGACAAACCAACAUAAAGAUUGUAUGUUUUUAGUCUUUGACAGUACACCAGACCACACCCUGAGCGACUGGUCAGUAACAUCUGGAGUUUUGGAGGUAGACGACCACGCAAAUCCCACGAGAACGCCAACUGUUGCGUGUUCUUGUACCAAAACAAACAUGGACGCCAACCAGAAGCUUGCACUGUUUAUAUGCAGAGACAUUUGUGCUGAAAAGGCCAAAAAAGGAGGAAAAAGCACAGAGUUCGGUGAGAUCCUGGAUGGAGAGGCGUGUAGGAGUGUAGAGUCCACAGAGGAAACUGGAGGUGAGUGAACUUUGUAAAAUGAAGCUAACUUCGGGUAAAGCUGUUAAUUUACCGGUACAUCUCCCUGGGGCGAUACACAAGUGACGUCAUCACGAAUGUCAGACAUGUUUAAAAUAUCUUUAGGAGAACGAGUGGCAGCAACUGGAUCUGAAUCAAAUUAAACUCUUUACAUAUCACAGACUUGUAUGUGAUUUUAUCUGCCACCUGUCAACACCAACUGACCCAGACUGAGACAGACCCGGUCCAACUUGGUCCCAUCAGCCGUCACGCCCAAACCACAUUCAUAAUCGGCUCAACAGUCAUAAUGUGUGUCCCCGCCUUUAGCCAAUAACACUCAACCAUCACACGUGAUCUCAUGGGGAAGCAGAUGUAAACAAAACGGAGACUGACGUUUUGCAGUGAGAAAAAACUAAAGCAGAGGGAACGAGUCUGGAUGAGAAAAUGGUUGGGGAGAUGCGGUCAGCAUGGGUUGUCUAUUCUUCAGCAAGAACUGGAGCGGUCUAUUCUCCAGAGAGGAGCUGGAUAACCCUGAACCCUGAACCUCAUCAUGUGCUACCCCUUCCAACCUACAUUGUGCGUGAUUUGUUAAACUUAAACAUGGGGGGAUGGCACCUGCUUGCGGCUGAUCACCGGCACACCUGCAUUCCAUUAUUCAUCAGUCUCCACCGUUCAUAUACCAGGCACCUCCACACCACCGACGCC
Siniperca chuatsi (mandarin fish) is the source of this 4766-nucleotide long non-coding RNA. RefSeq lists it as uncharacterized. The record is from RefSeq and is a predicted model, not a curated record. Lineage: Eukaryota; Metazoa; Chordata; Actinopteri; Centrarchiformes; Sinipercidae. The transcript is spliced from 3 exons.